GGAGAGAUGGCAGAGUGGUCGAAUGCGCACGCUUGGAAAGCGUGUGUCCGUUAUGCGGACCGGGGGUUCAAAUCCCCCUCUCUCCGCCA
RNAcentral lists this transfer RNA (89 nucleotides) under Candidatus Peregrinibacteria bacterium. RNAcentral's name for it is "tRNA-Ser". It matches the Rfam family "tRNA". From Rfam's summary of the family: Transfer RNA (tRNA) molecules are approximately 80 nucleotides in length. Their secondary structure includes four short double-helical elements and three loops (D, anti-codon, and T loops). Further hydrogen bonds mediate the characteristic L-shaped molecular structure. tRNAs have two regions of fundamental functional importance: the anti-codon, which is responsible for specific mRNA codon recognition, and the 3' end, to which the tRNAs corresponding amino acid is attached (by aminoacyl-tRNA synthetases). tRNAs cope with the degeneracy of the genetic code in two manners: having more than one tRNA (with a specific anti-codon) for a particular amino acid; and 'wobble' base-pairing, i.e. permitting non-standard base-pairing at the 3rd anti-codon position. Lineage: Bacteria; Candidatus Peregrinibacteriota. The record is from RNAcentral.